UUCAACCGUAUGGUAACCAAACCCUUAUGUUUCAAGAUCUGGAGGUGAAUUUUUGGUUAGUUUCCUGGAAUUUUUAAGAUUUUUACCUAUGAUUAUAAGGUUUGAUAAGGAAAAGAAAAGGCCAAAGUGGAGAAUAGAUUUUAGAAAAUAUUUAAUUUAUAUUUGUGUUUUUAUUUUAAUUUAAGAUGUGUUGAAGCUAAUGUAAAUAAAUUGAUAUAAUUAAACCACAUCUGUGUAUAUAUAAAGUUUUAUAUUUUUU
Molecule: long non-coding RNA, 259 nt
Organism: Mercurialis annua (annual mercury)
Lineage: Eukaryota; Viridiplantae; Streptophyta; Magnoliopsida; Malpighiales; Euphorbiaceae
Exons: 4
Source: RefSeq, a predicted model, not a curated record